RNAcentral lists this transfer RNA (86 nucleotides) under Puccinia triticina. RNAcentral describes it as "tRNA-Thr". It matches the Rfam family "tRNA". Rfam says of the family: Transfer RNA (tRNA) molecules are approximately 80 nucleotides in length. Their secondary structure includes four short double-helical elements and three loops (D, anti-codon, and T loops). The record is from RNAcentral. Lineage: Eukaryota; Fungi; Basidiomycota; Pucciniomycetes; Pucciniales; Pucciniaceae.
GCGUCUGUAGCCUAGUUGGUAAAGGCAGCACUCUAGUAUGUGUCUCAGCAUAGCUGAGGUCGUGAGUUUGAAUCUCACCAGACACA